Molecule: long non-coding RNA, 243 nt
Filed under: Pongo abelii (Sumatran orangutan)
Lineage: Eukaryota; Metazoa; Chordata; Mammalia; Primates; Hominidae
Description: lncRNA (ENSPPYG00000031270.1)
Source: RNAcentral
CAUAAAAACAGUGUCAGGAAUAGCUCAGCCCUUCCCAGAGGCAGCAAGAGGGCAAGAAGAACAGAGGAGACUGAGCUUGCAGGUCUCUAAAUGACCUCAAGUCAUCACAGCCACUGGUGCUGAAGGAAAUGGGAAAAUAGUCUCGUGACCCAGCAAGUGCUUCCCAUGCAGUCUGUCAUCUCUGGAGGCCUCAGAACCUGGUGUCACAUUACAGGGUGAAUGCCAGGGACAAGCUAAAGAGAG